This is a long non-coding RNA of Brachypodium distachyon (stiff brome), 1245 nucleotides long. RefSeq lists it as uncharacterized. The transcript is spliced from 2 exons. The record is from RefSeq and is a predicted model, not a curated record. NCBI's taxonomy places the organism in Eukaryota, Viridiplantae, Streptophyta, Magnoliopsida, Poales, Poaceae.
UAUCUCCUAAUAUAUUUUCACAUUAAAGGAUAUUCUUCACUCUUUCACAACCAUAAAAUUUGUUAUUGAAAUAUGGGUUCUUUCUUUUUGAAGAUUUGAUAUCCCCACUCUUGGCUAGCGUUUGAUAAUAGAGUAUAAUAACCCUAAAGUUUGUUGGCCUUUGAUCUUUUCUUUAUCACGAAACCCUUUAAUGAACAUGCAAAACUACAGCUUUGCCCUUCAGGUUGCGUUGUUCCCACUGAACGUGAGCAUGGGGAGUAUGGGGUUUGGUCCAGCCUCACUCCACUGGUUUUCUCUUUCUCAAAAGCAGAGAGCUUCAGUCUGUCUUGAUCUACUUCUCUCAGUUUUAGUGCUCUAUUCUCUUGAUUCUUUUCAUAAAAUGGUUUUACCUUCAAGAAAACUAGGGUUUAGGAGAGAAGAAGAAAAGGGGGGAACUAUCUGCCUGAUCAUUGGAGGAAACACUGACCACCGGAGUGUGCCAGUGGUCUUUGCUGGUGUUUGCUUACGCAAAACACAUGCAUUGUUCAGGAGCAAAGGACAUAGCCUAGUUCACUGCUACAGAAAAUGGGUCCGAGGGCAAAUUGUAACUUUCUUAUAGGGCAUGCACAUGGGAUGGGAAAUAAUUUUAUUUCACAGAAGACCCCCUCUGGGGGGAAAGGUCAUUGGCGGAUGAACUUUGGGGAUGCUAUCAAAGGGUAGCCAAGUUUGGGGGAAAUCAUCAACCCCCCAUUGUAAAAUAUUAAGUAUGUAUUCAGCCUUGUGUAGACCUUAUCUUUUUCUGUGGAAUAAUCGUUGAACCAAGUGGUUCUUGGAGCACAAGAGGCAAAAUUUCACCAAACUGAAGGUUGUGUGUGUUUUUGGACAAAAGGCCCGACGAAAUCCUGUAAAGGUUGUUUGUGUGGUAUAAACUAAAUCAGUGUUUGUUUGAUUAUGCAGCUUGCAAAACAUGCGAUAAACAAACUUGCUCCCAUGAGCGUAUGCUUGUUUUGUUUUUUGGUGGCUGAGUCAAGAUACUUGUGCUUGUAAGACUAUUUGUUUGAAUUUAUUUUCUGACAGUCAUGUAGCUGAGUAUGAGAGUGAAGUUGGUAACUAAAGUAGCGUCAUUACAUUUAGGUGUUAUCAAACAAUACACUUAACACCAACAGAUCUAGAGUACUGCCAUUAAUCUGAACAUUACAAUGGUGAUUUUUUUUAGGAAGAUACAAUUAGGAUUGUGUCCAGAAGGAAAUUGAUUCUGCAAACUCA